GACGAACCGAGCGAACGUUGUUCGGAAUCACUGGGCUUAAAGGGCGCGUAGGCGGGCUGUCAAGUCUGGGGUGAAAUCCCGCGGCUCAACCGUGGAACUGCCUCAGAUACUGACGGCCUCGAGGGAGGUAGGGGCGAGCGGAACUAAUGGUGGAGCGGUGAAAUGCGUUGAUAUCAUUAGGAACUCCGGUGGCGAAGGCGGCUCGCUGGACCUUUUCUGACGCUGAGGCGCGAAAGCGUGGGGAGCAAACAGG
Molecule: ribosomal RNA, 253 nt
Filed under: uncultured bacterium
Lineage: Bacteria
Description: partial 16S ribosomal RNA
Rfam family: Bacterial small subunit ribosomal RNA
Source: RNAcentral